This 375-nucleotide ribosomal RNA is filed under the name uncultured bacterium. RNAcentral's name for it is "bacterial SSU rRNA". It matches the Rfam family "Bacterial small subunit ribosomal RNA", at positions 30 to 403 of the family's 1533-position model. The record is from RNAcentral.
AUUGAACGCUGGCGGCAUGCCUUACACAUGCAAGUCGAACGGUAACGCGGGGCAACCUGGCGACGAGUGGCGAACGGGUGAGUAAUACAUCGGAACGUGCCCAGUAGUGGGGGAUAGCCCGGCGAAAGCCGGAUUAAUACCGCAUACGACCUACGGGUGAAAGCAGGGGAUCGCAAGACCUUGCGCUAUUGGAGCGGCCGAUGUCAGAUUAGGUUGUUGGUGGGGGUAAAAAGCCUACCAAGCCGACGAUCUGUAGCUGGUCUGAGAGGACGACCAGCCACACUGGGACUGAGACACGGCCCAGACUCCUACGGGAGGCAGCAGUGGGGAAUUUUUGGGACAAUGGGCGCAAGCCUGAUCCAGCCAUGCCGCGUG